This 254-nucleotide ribosomal RNA is filed under the name uncultured bacterium. Its description in RNAcentral is "partial 16S ribosomal RNA". It matches the Rfam family "Bacterial small subunit ribosomal RNA", at positions 524 to 776 of the family's 1533-position model. The record is from RNAcentral.
UACGGGGGGAGCAAGCGUUGUUCGGAUUUACUGGGCGUAAAGGGCGCGUAGGCGGUCGUGACAAGUCACUUGUGAAAUCUCCGGGCUUAACUCGGAACGGUCAAGUGAUACUGUCGGACUAGAGUACAGAAGGGGCAACUGGAAUUCUCGGUGUAGCGGUGAAAUGCGUAGAGAUCGGGAAGAACACCCGUGGCGAAGGCGGCCGGCUGGGCCGGAUCCGACGCUGAGGCGCGAAAGCGUGGGGAGCAAACAGG